UACAGAGGGUGCGAGCGUUGUUCGGAAUUAUUGGGCGUAAAGGGCGCGUAGGCGGUGCGGCAAGUCACCUGUGAAAACUCUGGGCUUAACCCAGAGCCUGCAUUCAAUACUGACAGGCUAGAGUUCUGGAGGGGAUAGCGGAAUUCCUGGUGUAGCGGUGAAAUGCGUAGAUAUCAGGAGGAACACCGGUGGCGAAGGCGGCUAUCUGGACAGAGUCUGACGCUGAGGCGCGAAAGCUAGGGGAGCAAACAGG
RNAcentral lists this ribosomal RNA (253 nucleotides) under uncultured bacterium. Its description in RNAcentral is "partial 16S ribosomal RNA". It matches the Rfam family "Bacterial small subunit ribosomal RNA", at positions 524 to 776 of the family's 1533-position model. The record is from RNAcentral.